GCACGAGUAGCUCAGCCCAGAGCGCCGGCCUUGUAAGUCGGACGUCGGAGGUUAAAAUCCUCCCUCUUGCU
Molecule: transfer RNA, 71 nt
Filed under: Dunckerocampus dactyliophorus (ringed pipefish)
Lineage: Eukaryota; Metazoa; Chordata; Actinopteri; Syngnathiformes; Syngnathidae
Description: tRNA-Thr
Rfam family: tRNA
About the family: Transfer RNA (tRNA) molecules are approximately 80 nucleotides in length. Their secondary structure includes four short double-helical elements and three loops (D, anti-codon, and T loops). Further hydrogen bonds mediate the characteristic L-shaped molecular structure. tRNAs have two regions of fundamental functional importance: the anti-codon, which is responsible for specific mRNA codon recognition, and the 3' end, to which the tRNAs corresponding amino acid is attached (by aminoacyl-tRNA synthetases). tRNAs cope with the degeneracy of the genetic code in two manners: having more than one tRNA (with a specific anti-codon) for a particular amino acid; and 'wobble' base-pairing, i.e. permitting non-standard base-pairing at the 3rd anti-codon position.
Source: RNAcentral